GAACGCACAUUGCACCCUCUGGUAUUCCGGAGGGUAUGCCUGUUUGAGUGUCAUUAAUAUGUCAACACAGGCAAGUUUGUCAAGACUUGCUCUGCUGUUUGGAUGUUGAAGGCUUGCUGGCAUUGACUUGUUCUGUCAGCUCCUUUUAAAUUCAUUAGCAGGAACCUUGCAGGACUGGCUUCAGUUUGAUAAGAUUGAACUGUUGUUAGAAUGCGCUUUUGCUGUUCCGGCUUCUAAUUGUCUGGUAAAACUGGACUGUCUCGCUCUGAGACAUUUACAUUUGACAACUUGGCCUCAAAUCAGGUAGGACUACCCGCUGAACUUA
RNAcentral lists this unclassified non-coding RNA (325 nucleotides) under uncultured fungus. RNAcentral's name for it is "sequence contains 5.8S rRNA gene". The stretch from base 1 to 53 matches the Rfam family "5.8S ribosomal RNA", at positions 102 to 154 of the family's 154-position model. The record is from RNAcentral. Lineage: Eukaryota; Fungi.